This 445-nucleotide ribosomal RNA is filed under the name uncultured bacterium. RNAcentral's name for it is "bacterial SSU rRNA". It matches the Rfam family "Bacterial small subunit ribosomal RNA", at positions 331 to 792 of the family's 1533-position model. The record is from RNAcentral.
CCAGACUCCUACGGGAGGCAGCAGUGGGGAAUAUUGCACAAUGGGGGAAACCCUGAUGCAGCAACGCCGCGUGAGUGAGGAAGUAUUUCGGUAUGUAAAGCUCUAUCAGCAGGGAAUAGAAAAGAAGGUGCCUGAAAAAGAAGCCCCGGCUAACUACGUGCCAGCAGCCGCGGUAAUACGUAGGGGGCGAGCGUUAUCCGGAUUCACUGGGUGUAAAGGGAGCGUAGACGGCCAAGCAAGCCAGGGGUGAAAGCCCGGGGCCCAACCCCGGGACUGCCCUUGGAACUGCAUGGCUGGAGUGCGGGAGGGGCAGGCGGAAUUCCUGGUGUAGCGGUGAAAUGCGUAGAUAUCAGGAGGAACACCGGCGGCGAAGGCGGCCUGCUGGACCGCGACUGACGUUGAGGCUCGAAAGCGUGGGGAGCGAACAGGAUUAGAUACCCCGGUA